AGCGAACGCUGGCGGCAGGCUUAACACAUGCAAGUCGAGCGGGCCCUUCGGGGUCAGCGGCGGACGGGUGAGUAACGCGUGGGAACGUGCCUUCUGGUUCGGAAUAACUCAGGGAAACUUGAGCUAAUACCGGAUACGCCCUUUUGGGGAAAGGUUUACUGCCGGAAGAUCGGCCCGCGUCUGAUUAGCUAGUUGGUGGGGUAACGGCCUACCAAGGCGACGAUUAGUAGCUGGUCUGAGAGGAUGAUCAGCCACACUGGGACUGAGACACGGCCCAGACUCCUACGGGAGGCAGCAGUGGGGAAUAUUGGACAAUGGGCGCAAGCCUGAUCCAGCCAUGCCGCGUGAGUGAUGAAGGCCUUAGGGUUGUAAAGCUCUUUUAUCCGGGACGAUAAUGACGGUACCGGAGGAAUAAGCCCCGGCUAACUUCGUG
This 433-nucleotide ribosomal RNA is filed under the name uncultured bacterium. RNAcentral describes it as "partial 16S ribosomal RNA". It matches the Rfam family "Bacterial small subunit ribosomal RNA", at positions 29 to 507 of the family's 1533-position model. The record is from RNAcentral.